AUUGAACGCUGGCGGCAGGCCUAACACAUGCAAGUCGAGCGAGCGGCGGACGGGUGAGUAAUGUCUGUGAAACUGCCUUAUGGAGGGGGAUAACUACUGGAAACGGUAGCUAAUACCGCAUACCAUCAGAUGUGCCCAGAUGGGAUUAGCUAGUAGGUGUGGUAACUGCUCACCUAGGCGACGAUCCCUAGCUGGUCUGAGAGGAUGACCAGACACACUGGAACUGAGACACGGUCCAGACUCCUAGGGGAGGAAGAAGUGGGGAAUAGUGGACAAUGGGGGCAAGCCUGAUGCAGCCAUGCCGCGUGUGUGAAGAAGGCCUUAGGGUUGUAAAGCACUUUAAGCGGGGAGGCGUUACCCGCAGAAGAAGCACCGGCUAACUCCGUGCCAGCAGCCGCGGUAAUUC
Molecule: ribosomal RNA, 406 nt
Filed under: uncultured bacterium
Lineage: Bacteria
Description: partial 16S ribosomal RNA
Rfam family: Bacterial small subunit ribosomal RNA
Source: RNAcentral